RNAcentral lists this long non-coding RNA (265 nucleotides) under Prunus persica (peach). RNAcentral describes it as "long non-coding RNA (PPER_LNC004275)". The record is from RNAcentral. Lineage: Eukaryota; Viridiplantae; Streptophyta; Magnoliopsida; Rosales; Rosaceae.
UUACAUGUCCUUUUUGGUCUUCAACGUCUGUGGACUUGCAAGAGUCAAUAUUGUUCGCUCAACAACAAUCAGUUUUACUAUUAUUUAAUUAUAAUAAUUAAAUAAACACAACAAUAGUAUAUAAAAGUAAAUAAACAAAACGAAAUUCGAAAAUUAGUAAAUAAAACACUAAGGGCAUGUUUACGUAUCAGUAAUGGAGAAAGUAAGGAAUCAGAUAAUUUAGGAAUCGGGGAACUACUGAAUCGGUAUAAGAAGAAUCAUUCCC